UCAGCUGUUCUUGGGAUCCCAAAUACCAGGCAAACAAAACUUCGAAGUAGGUGAAUGCGCAGCAGCGGCUGUUAGGUACAGGGACGGACGAAGGGGGGUCGUCCAGAGUGACCGUUCUGCAUCCGACCCUGCUUAUGCACGAAAAUAACUCUCUACCGUCAGUGAUUAUCCUCGCUAACGAUGCCCGCUAUCAGCGAACGAGUCGGGUAAACACCAUUUACACUGGGAUUGUCUCGUUAAAGUCAACGGAUGGGCUCUGUGGACUCGACAAAUAUGUGUGCAGACAGCAGUUGACAGUUCGCAAAAAGAGCGAAAAGAUGAUUAUAUUCGGAACAGGCAUCGAGCAAACAGAACCGAUUCGAGCAAAAGUUUCAAUACAGAAUUUGAAUGCCAGUUUACAAAUGCUCUGCAGGAGUUUAUCAAGGUUAAAUUCAAUUCUGGGAAAUAAGUAUUGAGUUAUUGCAUAUUUCGCAAAUCGUCUUUACUGCGCCCCUGAUAAAUACAAAAAAUAACAUUGCAGCCAUGCAAAAUCCUCUUUCAUAAAAUUUAUUCAAUAGUCAGUGGUUAAUCCCACCAGCGAUGACUGCAAAUAUUUCCAAUGAUUCGGAAUUCCGUUUUCAAUUAUCAUCUUUGACAUGCGUUACUUAUAUCUUUACUAUAGCUUUUUUACACAUCAUGCCAACUAUGUAAUUUCAAUUAGUGACAAUGACCUACGCGAAAUAAUUUUUUAUGCUCCAAUUAGGUUCACUUAAUCAUUGGGACUCUUGAAUAAAUAUAUUUUGCAAUAUA
This is a long non-coding RNA of Drosophila ficusphila, 789 nucleotides long. RefSeq lists it as uncharacterized. NCBI's taxonomy places the organism in Eukaryota, Metazoa, Arthropoda, Insecta, Diptera, Drosophilidae. The record is from RefSeq and is a predicted model, not a curated record. The transcript is spliced from 2 exons.